CCCCAAGUACUGGUUUUCAGCAGAUCCGGGCGAGGUGAGAGACUCUGCUUCUCUCUAUUGGCUACAGAGACAGAUUUACUCUCUAUUAGCUACAGAGACAGAUUUAGGGUCAGAUUUGAUUUGUUUGUAUUCAGGUAAUUAAAUGAUGUUGGAGGUUGUGAUGCAGCACAAGUAGCACAAGUUCAUCAUGUCCACUGCCCUUCAUUGAAUAUCAGGUUCAAUUUUCUUGAUUUUUUACUUGAGCUGUUACUCAUAGCAUUUUUUUAAUCUGGGUAUCAUAGAGUUGGUGUAGUUAAAUGAUGU
RNAcentral lists this long non-coding RNA (303 nucleotides) under Triticum aestivum (bread wheat). RNAcentral's name for it is "long non-coding RNA (TAES_LNC023196)". Lineage: Eukaryota; Viridiplantae; Streptophyta; Magnoliopsida; Poales; Poaceae. The record is from RNAcentral.